ACCGCGAUAGCUCAGCUGAUAGAGCAUCUUGCCCGGUAUGCGGAGGGUCGCCGGUUCGAUUCCGGCUCGCGGCG
This 74-nucleotide transfer RNA is filed under the name Fasciola hepatica (liver fluke). It matches the Rfam family "tRNA". Rfam says of the family: Transfer RNA (tRNA) molecules are approximately 80 nucleotides in length. Their secondary structure includes four short double-helical elements and three loops (D, anti-codon, and T loops). Lineage: Eukaryota; Metazoa; Platyhelminthes; Trematoda; Plagiorchiida; Fasciolidae. The record is from Rfam by way of RNAcentral.